Molecule: long non-coding RNA, 149 nt
Organism: Myotis davidii
Lineage: Eukaryota; Metazoa; Chordata; Mammalia; Chiroptera; Vespertilionidae
Exons: 3
Source: RefSeq, a predicted model, not a curated record
CCUAUGAAUCAGGAGGUCAUGGUUUGAUUCCCGGUCAAGACACACGCCUGGGUUAUGGGGUCGAUCCCCAGAAUGAGGCGUGCAGGAGGCAGCUGAUCGAUGAUUCUCUCUCAUCAUUGAUUGUUUCUCUCUCUCUCUCUCCCUCCCUC